GAUGAACGCUGGCGGCGUGCCUAAUACAUGCAAGUCGAGCGAACAGACGAGGAGCUUGCUCCUCUGACGUUAGCGGCGGACGGGUGAGUAACACGUGGAUAACCUACCUAUAAGACUGGGAUAACUUCGGGAAACCGGAGCUAAUACCGGAUAAUAUAUUGAACCGCAUGGUUCAAUAGUGAAAGACGGUCUUGCUGUUACUUAUAGAUGGAUCCGCGCCGCAUUAGCUAGUUGGUAAGGUAACGGCUUACCAAGGCAACGAUGCGUAGCCGACCUGAGAGGGUGAUCGGCCACACUGGAACUGAGACACGGUCCAGACUCCUACGGGAGGCAGCAGUAGGGAAUCUUCCGCAAUGGGCGAAAGCUUGACGGAGCAACGCCGCGUGAGUGAUGAAGGUCUUCGGAUCGUAAAACUCUGUUAUUAGGGAAGAACAAAUGUGUAAGUAACUAUGCACGUCUUGACGGUACCUAAUCAGAAAGCCACGGCUAACUACGUG
This 497-nucleotide ribosomal RNA is filed under the name uncultured bacterium. RNAcentral describes it as "partial 16S ribosomal RNA". It matches the Rfam family "Bacterial small subunit ribosomal RNA", at positions 28 to 507 of the family's 1533-position model. The record is from RNAcentral.